UGAGGAAUCUUCCACAAUGGACGAAAGUCUGAUGGAGCAACGCCGCGUGCAGGAAUAAGGCCUUCGGGUUGUAAACUGCUUUUAUAUGGGAAGAUUAUGACGGUACCAUAUGAAUAAGGACCGGCUAACUACGUGCCAGCAGCCGCGGUAAUACGUAGGGUCCAAGCGUUAUCCGGAAUCACUGGGCGUAAAGCGUACGUAGGCGGCGUGUUAAGUGUGAUGCGAAAUCUAGUGGCUCAACCAUUUAGACUGUAUCGCAUACUGGCAUGCUAGAGGACGACAGAGGCAAGUGGAAUUGAUAGUGUAGCAGUGAAAUGCGUAGAUAUUAUCAGGAACACCAAUGGCGAAGGCAGCUUGCUGGGUCGUCCCUGACGCUGAGGUACGAAAGCGUGGGGAGCGAACAG
RNAcentral lists this ribosomal RNA (404 nucleotides) under uncultured bacterium. RNAcentral's name for it is "bacterial SSU rRNA". It matches the Rfam family "Bacterial small subunit ribosomal RNA", at positions 355 to 775 of the family's 1533-position model. The record is from RNAcentral.